RNAcentral lists this transfer RNA (74 nucleotides) under Stenotrophomonas phage CUB19. It matches the Rfam family "tRNA". Rfam says of the family: Transfer RNA (tRNA) molecules are approximately 80 nucleotides in length. Their secondary structure includes four short double-helical elements and three loops (D, anti-codon, and T loops). Further hydrogen bonds mediate the characteristic L-shaped molecular structure. tRNAs have two regions of fundamental functional importance: the anti-codon, which is responsible for specific mRNA codon recognition, and the 3' end, to which the tRNAs corresponding amino acid is attached (by aminoacyl-tRNA synthetases). tRNAs cope with the degeneracy of the genetic code in two manners: having more than one tRNA (with a specific anti-codon) for a particular amino acid; and 'wobble' base-pairing, i.e. permitting non-standard base-pairing at the 3rd anti-codon position. The record is from Rfam by way of RNAcentral. Lineage: Duplodnaviria; Heunggongvirae; Uroviricota; Caudoviricetes.
GCGCGUAUAGCUCAACUGGACAGAGCUACCGAUUUCUACUCGGUAGGUUGAGGGUUCAAAUCCUUCUACGCGCA